Molecule: small nuclear RNA, 99 nt
Filed under: Castor canadensis (American beaver)
Lineage: Eukaryota; Metazoa; Chordata; Mammalia; Rodentia; Castoridae
Source: RNAcentral
GUGUUCCUUCGGCAGCACAUAUACUAAAAUUGGAACAAUACAGAGAAGUUUAGCAUGGCCCCUAUGCAAAGAUGACACAUAAAUACAUUCCAUAUUUUA